RNAcentral lists this unclassified non-coding RNA (263 nucleotides) under plant metagenome. RNAcentral's name for it is "partial contains small subunit ribosomal RNA, internal transcribed spacer 1, and 5.8S ribosomal RNA". The record is from RNAcentral.
UCUCCGUAGGUGAACCUGCGGAAGGAUCAUUAUUGUAUAACCGAGGUGCGAGGGCUGUCGCUGACUCGAAAGGUCGUGCACGCCCGAGUGCCCUCACACACAUCCAUCUCACCCCUAUGUGCACCACCGCGUGGGUCCCCCUUUGGCUUGUUCGGAGGGGGGCUUACGUUUUCACACAAACUUUGUAUGCAGUGUAGAAUGUAUUUUUUGUUUUUGCGAUCACGCAAUCAAUACAACUUUCAACAACGGAUCUCUUGGCUCUC